GACGAACGCUGGCGGCGUGCCUAAUACAUGCAAGUCGAACGCUUUUUCUUUCACCGUAGCUUGCUCCACCGAAAGAAAAAGAGUGGCGAACGGGUGAGUAACACGUGGGUAACCUGCCCAUCAGAAGGGGAUAACACUUGGAAACAGGUGCUAAUACCGUAUAACAAGUAAAACCGCAUGGUUUUACUUUGAAAGGCGCUUUUGCGUCACUGAUGGAUGGACCCGCGGUGCAUUAGCUAGUUGGUGAGGUAACGGCUCACCAAGGCAACGAUGCAUAGCCGACCUGAGAGGGUGAUCGGCCACAUUGGGACUGAGACACGGCCCAAACUCCUACGGGAGGCAGCAGUAGGGAAUCUUCGGCAAUGGACGAAAGUCUGACCGAGCAACGCCGCGUGAGUGAAGAAGGUUUUAGGAUCGUAAAACUCUGUUGUUAGAGAAGAACAAGGAUGAGAGUAAAAUGUUCAUCCCUUGACGGUAUCUAACCAGAAAGCCACGGCUAACUACGUGCCAGCAGCCGCGGUAAUACGUAGGUGGCAAGCGUUGUCCGGAUUUAUUGGGCGUAAAGCGAGCGCAGGCGGUUUCUUAAGUCUGAUGUGAAAGCCCCCGGCUCAACCGGGGAGGGUCAUUGGAAACUGGGAAACUUGAGUGCAGAAGAGGAGAGUGGAAUUCCAUGUGUAGCGGUGAAAUGCGUAGAUAUAUGGAGGAACACCAGUGGCGAAGGCGGCUCUCUGGUCUGUAACUGACGCUGAGGCUCGAAAGCGUGGGGAGCAAACAGG
This 776-nucleotide ribosomal RNA is filed under the name uncultured Enterococcaceae bacterium. RNAcentral describes it as "bacterial SSU rRNA". It matches the Rfam family "Bacterial small subunit ribosomal RNA", at positions 28 to 776 of the family's 1533-position model. The record is from RNAcentral. Lineage: Bacteria; Bacillati; Bacillota; Bacilli; Lactobacillales; Enterococcaceae.